Molecule: long non-coding RNA, 1505 nt
Organism: Homo sapiens (human)
Lineage: Eukaryota; Metazoa; Chordata; Mammalia; Primates; Hominidae
Exons: 2
Source: RefSeq, a predicted model, not a curated record
CCCAUUUGUUCAGCACUUGGACGGAGAUGCCAGCAGCUUCCAGGCAGAGGGAGAAUCGAAGGUUUGUCUUCACUUGACUUCUCGCUCACACCAUCUGGCUGAUGGAGAAUCCUUUCAUUUCUUCCCGUGGCUGGACCAAAGGGAGAAUGACUGUGAAUAGAAGUGCCUUUUCAACCUUCACUUGUAUCCAUUUUUAAAAGGACAAAUAAGCAUUAUUCACAAUAGCAAGAUGUGGGAACAACUCAAGUGUUAAUCAACAGAUGAGUGGAUAAAGAAAAUGUGCUAUACAUGUACAGUGUGAUAUUAUUCAGCUUUACAAAGGAAGGAAAUCCUGCCAUUUAUGGACAAUGUGGAUGAACCUGGAGGACAUUAUGCUAAGCAAAAUAAGCCAGUACCAAAGGUCAAGUACUGCAUGAUUCCACUUGUAUGAGAGAUCUUUAUAGUCAACAUCAUAGAAGUAGUGAGUGCAAUAGGGCUUGCCAGGGGCUGCAAUGUUAUUCAUCAGGUAUGCUAGAUGAAUAUGUUCUAGAGAUCUGCUGUACAACGUUGUACCUAUAGUAAACAAUACAGUAUGGUGUAUUUCAACAUUUGUUAAGAGAGUAGGUCUCAAUUUAAGUGUUCUUACGACAAAAAUAAACAAAAAACACAAAAACGAGACACAAAGAAACUAUGGGGGCUGGGUGCAGUGGCUCACACCUGUAAGCCCAGCACUUUGGGAGGAUGAAGCGGAUAGAUUACCUUAGGUCAGGAGUUCGGGACCAACCUGGCCAAAUCUGUCUCUAUUAAAAAUACAAAAAAAUUAGCCGGGCACGGUGGCAUGCACCUGUAGUCCCAGGUACUCAGGAGGCUGAGGCAGGAGAAUAGCUUCAACUAGGAGUUGGAGGCUGCAGUGAGCUGAGAUCACGCCACUGCACUCCAGCCUGGGUGACAGUGAGACUCUGUCUCAAAACAAACAAACAAACAAACAAAAACAAAAAAGAAACUAUGGAAAUUGCUGGAUCUGUCUACUACGUUAAUAGUGGUAAUUGUAACAAGAAUGUUUGCAUAUGUUUAAACUUAUCAAAUUGUAUACUUUAAAUAUGUGUACUUCUUCAUAAUAUCAGUUAUGCUUCAAUAAAGCUGUUAAGAAGUUUUAAUUUAUUUAAAUUUGUGUUAACCUGUCACUUUGUGAGGGUCAUCUACUUUUUAUACAAAGUCACUGCAACCUACAUACUUAAUUCUUUUGUACUGUUUUGAAAUAAGCAUACACUUGCAGACACAUGUUUCUACAACAUUCUUUGCUUUCCCAAUAGGCAAGUUCAAACUCAGAAGGCGAAAGUCCAGCGGAAAGUACCGGAACUGAGGGAAAACUAUUUGCCUAACCACCCACACCACUGAAUGCUUUCUUGGAAUCUGCUGUGUGUUUAAGAUGAUAUCCUACCCACACACAUGUAACCUUUACCUUUUUGCAAACCAAAUCUGAUUCUACAAGGAAAGCACAAAAAUAAAAAUAUUUUUCUCUCAAA